UGCGUAGGCGGGUUUCUAAGUCAGAGGUGAAAGCCUGGAGCUCAACUCCAGAACUGCCUUUGAUACUGGAAGUCUUGAGUAUGGCAGAGGUGAGUGGAACUGCGAGUGUAGAGGUGAAAUUCGUAGAUAUUCGGAGGAACACUAGUGGCGAAGGCGGCUUACUGGGCUUUAACUGACGCUGAGGCACGAAAGCAUGGGUAGCAAACA
This 207-nucleotide ribosomal RNA is filed under the name uncultured bacterium. RNAcentral describes it as "partial 16S ribosomal RNA". It matches the Rfam family "Bacterial small subunit ribosomal RNA", at positions 568 to 774 of the family's 1533-position model. The record is from RNAcentral.